RNAcentral lists this ribosomal RNA (460 nucleotides) under uncultured bacterium. Its description in RNAcentral is "partial 16S ribosomal RNA". It matches the Rfam family "Bacterial small subunit ribosomal RNA", at positions 338 to 795 of the family's 1533-position model. The record is from RNAcentral.
CCUACGGGGGGCUGCAGUGAGGAAUAUUAGUCAAUGGACGAGAGUCUGAACCAGCCAAGUAGCGUGAAGGAUGAUUGCCCUAUGGGUUGUAAACUUCUUUUAUAAAGGAAUAAAACGAGGCACGUGUGCCUUUUUGCAUGUACUUUAUGAAUAAGGAUCGGCUAACUCCGCGCCAGCAGCCGCGGUAAUACGGAGGAUCCGAGCGUUAUCCGGAUUUAUUGGGUUUAAAGGGAGCGUAGAUGGGUUGUUAAGUCAGUUGUGAAAGUUUGCGGCUCAACCGUAAAAUUGCAAUUGAUACUGGCAGUCUUGAGUACAGUUGAGGUAGGCAGAAUUCGUGGUGUAGCGGUGAAAUGCUUAGAUAUCACGAAGAACCCCGAUGGCGAAGGCAGCUUACUAAACUGUGACUGACAUUGAGGCUCGAAAGUGUGGGUAGCAAACAGGAUUAGAUACCCGGGUAGUC